Molecule: ribosomal RNA, 1235 nt
Filed under: metagenome
Description: bacterial LSU rRNA
Rfam family: Bacterial large subunit ribosomal RNA
Source: RNAcentral
CGAAUACGAGACGCUACGGCGUCGAAGUAGUGUAUGUCAUGCUUCCAAGAAAAGCUUGCACUGUCAUAGAUAAAAAAUGCCUGUACCAUAACCGACACAGGUGGGUAGGUAGAGUAUACUAAGGGGCGCGAGAUAACUCUCUCUAAGGAACUCGGCAAAAUAACUCCGUAACUUCGGGAGAAGGAGUGCCUUAUUUAAUAAGGUUGCAAUAACAAGAUCCAAGCAACUGUUUACCAAAAACACGGGUCUCCGCUAAGUCGUAAGACGAUGUAUGGGGGCUGACGCCUGCCCAGUGCCAGAAGGUUAAAGAAGUUGGUUAGCAUCUGCGAAGCUGAUAACUGAAGCCCUGGUGAACGGCGGCCGUAACAAUAACGGUCCUAAGGUAGCGAAAUUCCUUGUCGGGUAAGUUCCGACCCGCACGAAAGGCGUAAUGAUUUGGAUACUGUCUCGGAGAGGGGCUCGGUGAAAUAGACUUGUCUGUGAAGAUGCGGACUACCUGCACCUGGACAGAAAGACCCUAUGAAGCUUUACUGUAACUUGAAAUUGAAAUUGGACUUUAUUCGCGCAGUAUAGGUGGGAGGCGUUGAAAAUACUCUUGCGGGAGUAUUGGAGCUAUCAGUGAGAUACCACUCUUAUAAUGUUAGAUUUCUAACUUUGAACCAUUAUCUGGUCAAAGAACAGUUUCAGGCGGGCAGUUUGACUGGGGCGGUCGCCUCCCAAACGGUAACGGAGGCGUACAAAGGUUUCCUCUGAACGGAUAGAAAUCGUAUCUAGAGUAUAAAGGCAUAAGGAAGCUUGACUGUGAGACCUACAAGUCGAGCAGGGACGAAAGUCGGUCUUAGUGAUCUGACGGUACUGAGUGGAAAGGCCGUCACUCAACGGAUAAAAGUUACUCUAGGAUAACAGGCUGAUCUCCCCCAAGAGUUCACAUCGACGGGGAGGUUUGGCACCUCGAUGUCGGCUCAUCGCAUCCUGGGGCGGUAGUACGUCCCAAGGGUUGGGCUGUUCGCCCAUGAAAGCGGUACGCGAGCUGGGUUCAGAACGUCGUGAGACAGUUCGGUCCAUAUCCGGUGUAGGCGUUAGAAUAUUGAGAGGAGCCUUCUCUAGUACGAGAGGACCGAGAAGGACAUACCUCUGGUGUACCAGUUAUCGUGCCAACGGUAAACGCUGGGUAGCUAUGUAUGGAGUGGAUAACCGCUGAAAGCAUCUAAGUGGGAAGCCCACCUCAAGAUAAG